This 984-nucleotide ribosomal RNA is filed under the name Ophiocordyceps cylindrospora. Its description in RNAcentral is "SSU rRNA". It matches the Rfam family "Eukaryotic small subunit ribosomal RNA", at positions 107 to 1102 of the family's 1831-position model. The record is from RNAcentral. Lineage: Eukaryota; Fungi; Ascomycota; Sordariomycetes; Hypocreales; Ophiocordycipitaceae.
AAGUAUCGUUUAUUGAUAGGCCUUACUACUUGGAUAACCGUGGUAAUUCUAGAGCUAAUCCAUGCUAAAAGACCCGACUGCCGGAAGGGUUGUAUUUAUUAGAUUAAAAGCCAAUGCCCUCUGGGCUCACUGGUGAAUCAUAGUAACUUCGCGAAUCGCAUGGCCUAGUGCCGGCGAUGGCUCAUUCAAAUUUCUUCCCUAUCAACUUUCGAUGUUUGGGUAGUGGCCAAACAUGGUUGCAACGGGUAACGGAGGGUUAGGGCUCGACCCCGGAGAAGGAGCCUGAGAAACGGCUACUACAUCUAAGGAAGGCAGCAGGCGCGCAAAUUACCCAAUCCCGAUACGGGGAGGUAGUGACAAUAAAUACUGAUACAGGGCUCUUUUGGGUCUUGUAAUUGGAAUGAGUACAAUUUAAAUCCCUUAACGAGGAACAAUUAGAGGGCAAGUCUGGUGCCAGCAGCCGCGGUAAUUCCAGCUCUAAUAGCGUAUAUUAAAGUUGUUGUGGUUAAAAAGCUCGUAGUUGAACCUUGGGCCUGGCUGGCAGGUCCGCCUCACCGCGUGCACUUCGCCGGCCGGGCCUUUCCCUCUGUGGAACCCUAUGCCCUUCACUGGGUGUAGCGGGGAAACAGGACUUUUACUUUGAAAAAAUUAGAGUGCUCCAGGCAGGCCUAUGCUCGAAUACAUUAGCAUGGAAUAAUGAAAUAGGACAUGCGCGGUUCUAUUUUGUUGGUUUCUAGGACCGCGGUAAUGAUUAAUAGGGACAGUCGGGGGCAUCAGUAUUCAAUUGUCAGAGGUGAAAUUCUUGGAUUUAUUGAAGACUAACUACUGCGAAAGCAUUUGCCAAGGAUGUUUUCAUUAAUCAGGAACGAAAGUUAGGGGAUCGAAGACGAUCAGAUACCGUCGUAGUCUUAACCAUAAACUAUGCCGACUAGGGAUCGGACGACAGUCGUUUGUGACUCGUUCGGCACCUUACGAGAAAUCAAA